Molecule: long non-coding RNA, 272 nt
Organism: Mustela erminea (ermine)
Lineage: Eukaryota; Metazoa; Chordata; Mammalia; Carnivora; Mustelidae
Exons: 4
Source: RefSeq, a predicted model, not a curated record
GCGGAAGGCUUAGAGACCCCGCAGUGCCUUCUGGGAUGCAGAGGACAGCCACACUCUGAGCCUGAGUCUUCUCAUCUGGACUGUGAGCCUUGGUACAAACUUGAUCUUAGACUUUCCUUCUGGAAUCAUUUCCCUUCUUCUGAGUUGUAUUAAUAAGGUUCUGUUGCAGGAUACCCUGUUACUUGUAGUUGUCUCGUCUCCUAAGACUCCUCUUGGCUGUGGUAAUUUCUCAGACCUUCCUUGUUUUUGAAGACCUUGGCAGUGUUGAGGCG